RNAcentral lists this ribosomal RNA (200 nucleotides) under uncultured bacterium. RNAcentral's name for it is "partial 16S ribosomal RNA". It matches the Rfam family "Bacterial small subunit ribosomal RNA", at positions 29 to 257 of the family's 1533-position model. The record is from RNAcentral.
AGCGAACGCUGGCGGCAGGCCUAACACAUGCAAGUCGAACGAAGUCUUCGGACUUAGUGGCGGACGGGUGAGUAACACGUGGGAACGUACCUUUUGGUUCGGAGCAACUCAGGGAAACUUGAGCUAAUACCGAAUGUGCCCUUCGGGGAAAGAUUUAUCGCCAUUAGAGCGGCCCGCGUUAGAUUAGCUAGUUGGUGGGG